GAUGAAGAACGUAGCGAAAUGCGAUAAGUAAUGUGAAUUGCAGAAUUCAGUGAAUCAUCGAAUCUUUGAACGCACAUUGCGCCCCCUGGUAUUCCGGGGGGCAUGCCUGUUCGAGCGUCAUUUCAUCACUCAAGCCUCGCUUGGUAUUGGGCAACGCGGUCCGCCGCGUGCCUCAAAUCGACCGGCUGGGUCUUCUGUCCCCUAAGCGUUGUGGAAACUAUUCGCUAAAGGGUGCUCGGGAGGCUACGCCGUAAAACAAACCCAUUUCUAAGGUUGACCUCGGAUCAGGUAGGGAUACCCGCUGAACUUAAGCAUAUCAAUAAGCGGAGGA
This 331-nucleotide unclassified non-coding RNA is filed under the name soil metagenome. RNAcentral's name for it is "partial contains 5.8S ribosomal RNA, internal transcribed spacer 2, and large subunit ribosomal RNA". The stretch from base 1 to 120 matches the Rfam family "5.8S ribosomal RNA", at positions 35 to 154 of the family's 154-position model. The record is from RNAcentral.